Molecule: ribosomal RNA, 249 nt
Filed under: Klebsiella pneumoniae
Lineage: Bacteria; Pseudomonadati; Pseudomonadota; Gammaproteobacteria; Enterobacterales; Enterobacteriaceae
Description: partial 16S ribosomal RNA
Rfam family: Bacterial small subunit ribosomal RNA
Source: RNAcentral
CAUCAGAUGUGCCAAGAUGGGAUUAGCUAGUAGGUGGGGUAACGGCUCACAUAUGCGACGAUCCCUAGCUGGUCUGAGAGGAUGACCAGACACACUGGAACUGAGACACGGUCCAGACUCCUACGGGAGGCAGCAGUGGGGAAUAUUGCAAAAUGGGCGCAAGCCUGAUGCAGCCAUGCCGCUUGUGUGAAGAAGGCCUUCGGGUUGUAAAGCACUUUCAGCGGGGAGGAAGGCGUUAAGGUUAAUAAC